UUGGCGGCUCUGAGGAGCUCGGGCUGCGGGCGCGCGCCCUGGGGGCAGCUGCGGCGGGACGCCUGCGCCUCAGAAGGGAUGUGGCGGUCCAGGGAGGCCCCCGACUGAGAGAAACCGGGGCCCUCGGGAUUCCCAGAGCCGCCGCGGGUCGUGCGUAGCGGAGCUAGAAGCCCAGCCGGAGCGCGGCCCGAAACCGGGUGGCAACGCCCCGCGCCCGGCGCACGCCUGAGGCGCACGGCUUGGCUGCUCAGGGAGCGCCAGGAGUCGGAAGAAACCGAAAGAGGCUGAGGCAACUGAGACUGAAAGAGGCAAAGUGUUUUGCCGAAGAGCACAACAGGGGCAGGUGGAGAAAUCCUGCAUUCAUUCAAUCAUGAGUCUAUUCAGCGCCUACUCUUGGCAAGGCACCUUGGUCUGUGGUACACAGAGAGGAAAAACAUGCAAACACUUCUGGGGAUUUUCCAUGUUGAUGGAAGAAAGUGUUCAGGAUACUUAAGUGAAUCCCAUUGCAG
Long non-coding RNA from Talpa occidentalis (Iberian mole), 509 nucleotides. RefSeq lists it as uncharacterized. Lineage: Eukaryota; Metazoa; Chordata; Mammalia; Eulipotyphla; Talpidae. The transcript has 3 exons. The record is from RefSeq and is a predicted model, not a curated record.